Molecule: ribosomal RNA, 253 nt
Filed under: uncultured bacterium
Lineage: Bacteria
Description: partial 16S ribosomal RNA
Rfam family: Bacterial small subunit ribosomal RNA
Source: RNAcentral
UACGUAGGGGGCAAGCGUUAUCCGGAUUUACUGGGUGUAAAGGGAGCGUAGACGGCAGCGCAAGUCUGGAGUGAAAUGCCGGGGCCCAACCCCGGAACUGCUUUGGAAACUGUGCAGCUCGAGUGCAGGAGAGGUAAGCGGAAUUCCUAGUGUAGCGGUGAAAUGCGUAGAUAUUAGGAGGAACACCAGUGGCGAAGGCGGCUUACUGGACUGUAACUGACGUUGAGACUCGAAAGCGUGGGGAGCAAACAGG